This 837-nucleotide ribosomal RNA is filed under the name uncultured bacterium. Its description in RNAcentral is "bacterial SSU rRNA". It matches the Rfam family "Bacterial small subunit ribosomal RNA", at positions 56 to 902 of the family's 1533-position model. The record is from RNAcentral.
UGCAGUCGAACGAACUUAACCAUUAGUUUACUAGUGGAGCGGUUAGUGGCGGACUGGUGAGUAACACGUAAGCAACCUGCCUAUCAGAGGGGAACAACAGUUAGAAAUGACUGCUAAUACCGCAUAUGCCUUGAGUAUCACAUGGUACAAAAGGGAAAGGAGCAAUCCGCUGAUAGAUGGGCUUGCGUCUGAUUAGAUAGUUGGUGAGGUAACGGCCCACCAAGUCGACGAUCAGUAGCCGGACUGAGAGGUUGAACGGCCACAUUGGGACUGAGAUACGGCCCAGACUCCUACGGGAGGCAGCAGUCGGGAAUAUUGCGCAAUGGAGGAAACUCUGACGCAGUGACGCCGCGUGCAGGAAGAAGGUUUUCGGAUUGUAAACUGCUUUAGACAGGGAAGAAACAAGACAGUACCUGUAGAAUAAGCUCCGGCUAACUACGUGCCAGCAGCCGCGGUAAUACGUAGGGAGCAAGCGUUAUCCGGAUUUAUUGGGUGUAAAGGGUGCGUAGACGGGAAAUUAAGUUAGUUGUGAAAUCCCUCGGCUUAACUGAGGAACUGCAACUAAAACUGAUUUUCUUGAGUGCUGGAGAGGAAAGUGGAAUUCCUAGUGUAGCGGUGAAAUGCGUAGAUAUUAGGAGGAACACCAGUGGCGAAGGCGACUUUCUGGACAGUAACUGACGUUGAGGCACGAAAGUGUGGGGAGCAAACAGGAUUAGAUACCCUGGUAGUCCACACCGUAAACGAUGGAUACUAGGUGUAGGGUGUGAUAAACAUUCUGUGCCGUCGCAAACGCAGUAAGUAUCCCGCCUGGGGAGUACGGCCGCAAGGUUGAAACUC